Molecule: ribosomal RNA, 459 nt
Filed under: uncultured bacterium
Lineage: Bacteria
Description: partial 16S ribosomal RNA
Rfam family: Bacterial small subunit ribosomal RNA
Source: RNAcentral
CCUACGGGGGGCAGCAGUGAGGAAUAUUGGUCAAUGGCCGAGAGCCUGAACCAGCCAAGUCGCGUGAAGGAAGACUGCCCUAUGGAUUGUAAACCUCUUUUGUCAGGGAGUAAAGUCCCCCACGUGUGGGUGUUUGCGAGUACCUGAUGAAAAAGCAUCGGCUAACUCCGUGCCAGCAGCCGCGGUAAUACGGAGGAUCCGAGCGUUAUCCGGAUUUAUUGGGUUUAAAGGGUGCGUAGGCGGGUUAUCAAGUCAGCGGUAAAAUCGUGGAGCUAAACUUCAUCCAGCCGUUGAAACUGGUGAUCUUGAGUGGGCUAGAAGUAUGCGGAAUGCGUGGUGUAGCGGUGAAAUGCAUAGAUAUCACGCAGAACUCCGAUUGCGAAGGCAGCAUACUGGCGCCCGACUGACGCUGAAGCACGAAAGCGUGGGUAUCGAACAGGAUUAGAUACCCUUGUAGUC